This 6712-nucleotide long non-coding RNA is filed under the name Sus scrofa (pig). RNAcentral describes it as "lncRNA (ENSSSCG00000058321.1)". The record is from RNAcentral. Lineage: Eukaryota; Metazoa; Chordata; Mammalia; Artiodactyla; Suidae.
UUUUUUUUUUCUAGUCAUAGUCUUGUCUAUUAGAUGUCUUUUAUUAUUUUGUAUCUUUUUAUGAAAAAAAUUAUAAAUUUGGAUGAAUUCCAAUUGUUCAAUUUUUUCUUUUAAGGUCAGUGCUUUUCAUGUUCUGACCAAGAAAUCUUUGCCUUCCUAAUAGAUACUCUGUGGCCUAAAAGAUACUCUGUGUCCUAUACAAUUUAGGUUCUGCUUUUUACAUUUAGAUCUAUUUAUUUCAAAGCGAUUUUUUUUUUAAACAGGUAAAAAGCUGUAUAUUUUAGUCUACAUCCUGAUGAGUUUAAGCAUACCUCCAUGAAACCAUCAUCACCAUUAAGGCCAAAAACAUAUCCAUCAUCUCCUGUCUCUAUUAUUAUUAUUAUUAUUUUCAAAUUGACUUUUGUCUUGUGGAGUGGGGUAGCCAUUGAGAUUCAUUUUUUUUCCCUCCAAUAUUCCCUUUAUCCAUUUGUUAAAUAUGCUUUCCUUUUCCCCAUUGAUUUGAUUUGACUUAGUGCCUUGCCUUAUUAUUUAAAAAUUAUUAUUCUUUAAAUUGCUAUAAUCCUCUUUUGUUUGUGUAUACCUCACAUGAAGAACCUCCUGUCUCAGUACCCUUCUGUGGAAGAGCUGGGCUCAGGUUGAGGAGAAUGGAAGAACCUGACAGCUCUUUCCCACCCAUGAGGAGCUGACAACCCAGCCAGGAGAUUGAAGGUUCUGACUCGUGACAAGGACAUGUGGAUUCUCCUAUUCGGAGAGACACAAGUGCAGGAAGGAGUGAUUGAAACCAGUUGCCCACAUGCAGGCUAUGGGAGGCCUUCCCAGGCAGCAUGUUCACGAACAAGAUCUGAGGGUCCUAAUGGGCCACAAGCUCAACCCAAAUCAAGAAUUUAUGGUAACAAGCUCUCAACUGCUGUCUCCAUGGUAUGCGCGGUUUCUACUGUGUCCAGAAGAGAGGAAGGUCCUUCCCCCAUAUAUCUCUUACCUUCUGCUCUGCUCAGCCCUGUGCUAGGGUCUCUGGCUCAUCUCUGGGAGUGGAACAGAGCAGAUGGGAACAUGUGGAGGGACUACAGGGCUGGGAGAGCGCCAAGAGCCCUGUCCGUGAAGGGCUGGAGAGGGUGGGUCUAAGGCCCAAAAGGAAGAGCUGGGACACUUCUAUCUCCCAGGGAGGCACAGGGAGGUAGGCCCCAGCCCUAGGGAGAAAGUUUUAUCCUAGAUGUGGACUGUCCAGCCUGUCAGAAGGAUACCCAGGGAGAGGGGUUUCCCCUGAACAGGCCCCUCGCCACUGUGGUGCCUUGUUCAAAGGCUCUGAGACUUCCAUCCCUCCACGCCAAGCUCCUUGGACAAGAAAGGACACCUUUGUCCUUGAGCUCAAAGGCCCAGACAAGGACCCAGCCCUUCCAGGCUAUUUACGCAGGGACACCUUGUUUCCUUGCAGUCCCUGCGCUGAGCGGGAGGCCCAAGGAAGCUCUGUGGAAUGUGCCGCCAGCCCCCAGCUCUGUCUGGAAUUUCAUGGGGACAUUUUGCAGUCACUAAACUUAGCACCAGGGCCUGUGGGCUCUGGGUAGGCCCAAGUGUGCCAGGGCUGAGAAUGAAUCAUAGAGUGAGUUGGCAGGACAAAACUCAGAGGCCAGGCUCUGGGGACUCAUCUCAUCCUGGGGAGCAGAGGGCCUGGGCUGGCAUCCUUGAACCCCUGGGACUCCUGAGAUAUGUCCUGUCCUAUUCCCCUUGGUCCAGAUAUGCAGGCCCAACCCCCCUGAAAAGGGUCCAUAUACUCUGGGGAGAGCAUCUGAUCCAUCCUCUACUCCACACAUCACACACAGGUUUACUGAGGGCCUACUAUGUCACAAGAGCCCUGCCACACCCCUGAGAUGCUGUGGGGAUUUGACAGGAAGACUCUUGCCCUCUGGAGUCAGAGUCUCCUUAGGCAGACAGACAGGUUCAGCCAAAGGAGGCUGUGGGGGCUGGGAGGAGGAGCCUCCACCUGGGAAAUCAAGGGGGGCUUCCCAGAGGAGGGAACAUCAAAAUAGAGACCUGGAGGUGGAGGGAGAACUCUGCUUGGGAGAGGGGGGAAAAGCUGUUCAAGCAGACAGGACUGGAGGGACUCUGGUGAUGAGGGGCAGUCCCCUGAUGCCCAGCCCAGCUGCUUCCCAUGACAACUUGAUGCCACUCUGACUUUUUGCCUGCUCCUGGGACAGUCAUGUAAGAGGAAGAGAGCACUCUUUGGACAGGCUUGGCCUGGAAUCCCGACUCCCAGUGCCUGGCUGUGCGACCCUGGGUAAGCCAGCUCAUCUCUCUGAGCCUCAAGUUUCCUUUUCUGUAAAAUGGGGGGAACAGCAGGUCCUCUUUCCUAGGGUCAUGGUGAGCGAUAGUGAUGUGCAUGCGCAGGUCACUGUGCCUGACUCUGAGCACACCCGGUAAAGGGAAGUGUUUCCGUCCGGCCAGUGGCUUCUACCCCCUUCAAUCGGGCCUCCUAAGGGGGAGCAGCCCUCCUCUGAAGCCCUGCCCAAGUCCCGGCCCAGGGAGCCCCACCCCCCCACGCCCGACCGGAAGCAAGCUGGCCUGGUGCUGACAAGGUUUCCAAAGUGCAGGGAAGGUUGUCCAAAUACCUGGAUUGGAGCCACUGUCCAGCUCCACAGCCUGCCCAGCUCCCAGGGGACAAAGAAGGUCAGCCUCUCUUCUGCGGCCAGCAGCUGUCAUUGACAGUCCCCAUGAGCUGCCCUUGCUCUCUCCAACAUGGAUGUGGCCCUGGUGAUGGCCAGACUUCCGAUGGUCAGGGACAGCUUUCUGCUGCCUUUACCCUGGGGACUGGCAUGCACCACUGACCCACAUCUCCCAACUGGUCCCAUGAGCUUACACAGGCCUGAAGCAGGGGCCUGGGAGACAUUUUGCCUGUGCUCUCUGCCUGCUCCAGCAGAAUCUCUGGGUGGAAGGUGGGAGGUUGGACCCUGCCCAGUGCCCAACCUCCUCCUGGGCAGCUGGCCUCAGGGAACUCUGACUUGUCAUACAUUCUCUGGGGCCACUACAUUUUUAUUUUUAGGAUUUAUUGAGUACUUCCUGUGUGGUCCUGAGUUAUCUCAGAAAUCUUCUUACCCUAACAACCUGGGGGUCAGGAUUAUCCCUUGGUUUACAGAUGGGUGAUCACACGCAGAGAAGUGAAGCAGCUGCCCUGAGGUCACAUAGCCAGGAGGGGGCAGGGCAGGAACAGCAUCCCGUCUGCUGAUUCUCAAGCUACCUGAACCCAGGUGAGGACUAAGCAGGGCACCCAGCCACUGCGCUGCUGUGGGAAAUGGUUGACACCAGCCAGAAAGAGGCAGAGACCAGGCUUGAACCCAAGCCUUCAAACUGAAUCUGAGGACUGUACAGAGCCAGGCUGCUCUUGGGGCCAGACUGUGGAACUAGUUCUGAUCCUGCCCUGUGGCCAGCACCUGUAGCACACACAGUGAAUGCAUCACAAACAGGGUGGAAUGAAUGGAAGCUGGAGGGGGUGAGUGGAGAUCCCUAGUCAGUGCCCCUGGCUGAGUGACUGGAACAGACACUAAUAGGUCAAACUGCCCAUUCUUACUGUCAUGUUCAAACGGCACCCCUCCCACUGCUGUGCUGGCUGGCAGUGAUUGGUCUGGGGGUUGGUAACAACUCGACCAAUCACAGCCUACAUUCCCUGGUCAACGGUGAUUGGCCCAGGCAUAAGAAAUCUAAAUUAGGCCAAUGAAUCCCAACCCAGGAAUGUUUUUUUUUAUUUGGGACUCAGAAGGUUGAGUUCAGAUGCUGCAAAAUGUGAAACUCAGGGGCUGGAGCAAUUAUGUUUUCAUUUAUCAAGAUGCAGUGAAAGUGACAACAAUUGUGUCCAUUAGGAUAGCUUUCACCAGCAAGUCAAAACAAAUCUGGCCGCCAGUGGCUUAAUAAAUACACUUACAUUUUUCUCAUAUAAUAAACCUAGAGGGAGGUGACUACAGGCAUUGGUUCAGUCACUCAAUGAGAUCAGAGCUGGAAUUUUGUGAUUUUCUUGCCUUGUCCUCCUGGCUAUAAGAUGGGUACCAUCACUCUAGGCAUCAUGUCUGCAUUCAAGGAAGAAUGAAGAGGAGGAAAGCUAGGCCAGCUAUAAAUGAUCCCUUUUAUCAAAAAACUCAGCAACUUUUCCAGAACCCACAGCAGAUGUCUGCUUAUGUCUCAUUGACCAAAACUAUGUCUCCUGGUUGCAGUGAAGAAAGCUGGGAAAGAGCAUUUAGCUGAGCACUUUGCUGGACAAAAUCAGGGCUCUUUUAAAUGAAAAGGGAUGCUGGGUGGACACUUGCCCACCUCUACUCUGUGGCAGUCCUCACAAAGCAGAGAUGAGUGAUUCACAGAGGGCUGUAGUGGCACUUGGUGCCCAAUUCUUGUUUUUGGUUCAGCUUUGCCUUGGAUGUUGUGAUGUCUUAAACUCUACAUUUGGGUCGAGCCAUUUUGGAUGGUUCUAGAAGUCAGUGAACACGUGACCCUGACUCUCUAGAAACAUGCUUAUCACAUCCCAUCAUCUUGCCUGGGCUCCUUGCAUCCAUGCCAACCACUCCAGGCUCUUUGCAGAACAGCAAGAAGGACCUUUUCUACGACCAGGAUCUGACCCAUCAAUUGUUGGGUGUCACACCCUCCAGUGAUUCCUGUCGCCUUCAGGAUGAAGGCCAACACCCCUGCUGCAUGACCAUGUGCAGGCUGGCAUUGCCAUCUUCUCACACCUAGUUCCCUAGCUCCUUUUCUUCCAAAUAAAAAUCCCUGAUUUUUUAGCUUGGGAAAUGAAGUGACCUUUUUCAAGGUUUGUUAGUUCAAUAGAAAUAAGUGGUCUUUUAAAAAAAUUAAGCUGAGGAUCAUUUCUAGAGUUAUGUGAAAGAAUAGAAUGUGUUUGGGAUUUUUAAGGAACUCAGAAUUCUUGGCUUGUUUAGUUUUAAAAAACACAUCUAUCUCAAGUCAGGUAGGGUCAAACAGUCUUUCUGAAUCCUACAGCAAAGAGUGAACAGCCCAUCACCAGGCCCUGCUGUCUAAGGUCCCUUGGAAUCUAACUGUAACCAUCUCUGCAGCUGCAGGGGCUGGUGGGCUGGUAGGCUGGCUCCCUGGAAGAGGAAAAGGCCUGACUUGCAGUACUAGCCAGUUUCCGUGGUGCACAGGUGUCCACUGGUGGAUUCCAAGCUGUCGGGUGACAUCACGCAGAGCUGGAAGGAGAUGUGCAUGUCGGCUGUCAGGAGCCAGUCAGGCCAGGCUCUGCCAAGGGCUCCGACCUGGACACAAGGCCCCGAACAUGCUGUGCAUGUUCCUCCUCUAGACCUUUCUUGAUGCCAUCCCCUGGUCUGGAAUAGCCAUUCAUUAAUUCAUUCAUUCAUUCAACAAAUACCUCUUGAGUGCCUUCUGUACAUCAGGCACCAGGCCUGUGCCAAGCAAUUUUCUCACUGAAGGCUGAGCUCAGCCCUUUAGCAGGUGCUAGAGGAAUCCCCACUGUGCUGAUGCGGUAAUUGAGGCUGGGUCAUGUGAUACACCCAUCUGGAUCAUGGAACUGGAGAGUGGAGAGGCAAGGAUUCAGGCUUUGCCUGCGUGACUCCAGCCUGGUACUUAAGCAUGCUAGUCUUCUGCUCUUUCUCUGUCUAAUGAACUCCUGUUCACCACUCAAAUGUUACCACCUCUCUGAAGCCCUCUCUGGCCCCUGAUAGACUUCUUAUAUCAAAACAUAUUUAGAAAGGAUGUGAUAGAGAAGUGAGUGGGGGUGGGAGGGAGAUGUGCUGGGGACCAAGAGAGGGGAGAGAAACAGCCUAGGAGAUGACUGAGGGAGAAAGCAAGGAAGAAGAAAGCAAGAAAGGAAAAGCAGCUAAUGAGAUACUACAUGGCUGCUGAAGAUGUUCCAUAGAUCAGAAACUGAAUUGCGAGUCCUCACCUGCCUAGUGAAACAUGCUACUUGGGAGUUGCAGGUUCAAGUUACCACAAGGGCCUUACAGGGGACAAGGAUGAGUGAGGCUGGACAGACUUACACAGCAUAGGGACUGGUGGAGAUGGUGCCCUGUCUCAAGGGGCAACCCUGGCUCAGGUCCGGGUGACUGUGGCUGGAAGAGCCCAGUCCACCCUCUGCAGCCCAGCUCACUCAUCACAGCCAGUCUGUUUGUUUACUCCCCGGAUCAGGUGCAGGGGGAGUGCAGCCAGCUGUCUGAUGGGCUACAGGUGAGACAAGUGAGGGCACAAAAUGUAAAGAGCUAUCCACCACUCACUCUCUGAUUCUUGGGGGAGGUUCAUAGAAAUCCAGGGGGGGUUAGGGUGUAAACCAAAUCAGAGAACCAGAAGGCAACACCUUCCAACUACACACACACACACUUAUGCACACGUGUGCAUGCAAGUGUACACAUUUUUGACUGAUGGGAAAACUGAGGCCCAGAGAUUGAGAGAAAAAGGCCUUUGUCUUUGCUGUUCCCUCUGUCUGGAGGGGGAACCUCAGUACUUGGACAGCCAAUGGACAGUCAGGACUGGAGGCUUCAGUGGCUCUUUGCUUCCUGGCUAUGUGGCCCUAGGCAGGCUGCGUUAGCUGCUCUGGACCUCCUUUCCUCUUCUGUAUCAUGAAGAUAAGACCUCCACAAGGAGAUCCUGCUGAAUAGCAUUGAGAACUAUGUCUAGAUACUCAUGUUGCAACAGAAGAAAGGGUGGGGGAAAAAACUGUAACUGCAAUGUAUACAUCUAAGGAUAACCUGACCCCCUUGCUGUACAGUGG